UUCCAGGGAUUUGAUGCCCCUCUGGCACCACAAUCCCACGGGCAGCAGCCCUGUGUCACCCCCGAGCCAGGGGUCCCCGGGGCCGUGCUGGUGGUGUGGGGACCUCAGGACAACCCCUGGCAUUGCCACCCUGAGGGAUCAGCCAAAUUAACUCCAGGAUUUUCCAGCAGGGAAGAAGGGAUGGUUUGGCCGGCAGAGCUGGGAGAAGCCGGUUGAGCAGCACGGGGCACUCGGCUGGAGGGGCUGGGGACGGAUUCCUGGUGUCUCCAGGAGAAGCAGCUUCGCCUUCCCCAGCCCAGGGAGCGCCGGGAGCCGGAGCCAGAUGCAAACGAGGAGGAGAACUCCCAUUUUUAAGAGCCAGGUGAUUAUGAAGCGUCAGAACAAACUCUGCCCGGGGGGAGCAGAAGGGUUUUCUGCCCUCUCCCGACGUCUUUCAAGCCCAGACUGGAUGAUGGUUCCUGGGGAUGGGGCCGGUUCAAAGCAGGGGGAGCUCGGAAAAUCCGCUGCCUUUGAGUCCCCAACCUCAAACACCCACUGGCUUUUUGUAUUCAAAUGAUCAAAAAAAAAUAAUAAAAUAAUAAAAAAUAGAUCCAAGCGU
Long non-coding RNA from Corapipo altera (White-ruffed manakin), 598 nucleotides. RefSeq lists it as uncharacterized. The record is from RefSeq and is a predicted model, not a curated record. NCBI's taxonomy places the organism in Eukaryota, Metazoa, Chordata, Aves, Passeriformes, Pipridae. The transcript is spliced from 2 exons.